This 253-nucleotide ribosomal RNA is filed under the name uncultured bacterium. Its description in RNAcentral is "partial 16S ribosomal RNA". It matches the Rfam family "Bacterial small subunit ribosomal RNA", at positions 524 to 776 of the family's 1533-position model. The record is from RNAcentral.
UACGUAGGGUGCAAGCGUUAAUCGGAAUUACUGGGCGUAAAGCGUGCGCAGGCGGUGAUGUAAGACAGGUGUGAAAUCCCCGGGCUUAACCUGGGAACUGCAUUUGUGACUGCAUCGCUGGAGUGCGGCAGAGGGGGAUGGAAUUCCGCGUGUAGCAGUGAAAUGCGUAGAUAUGCGGAGGAACACCGAUGGCGAAGGCAAUCCCCUGGGCCUGCACUGACGCUCAUGCACGAAGGCGUGGGGAGCAAACAGG